This 129-nucleotide microRNA precursor is filed under the name Canis lupus familiaris (dog). RNAcentral describes it as "miRNA (ENSCAFG00000057062.1, ENSCAFG00845021241.1)". The stretch from base 20 to 112 matches the Rfam family "mir-3200 microRNA precursor family". Lineage: Eukaryota; Metazoa; Chordata; Mammalia; Carnivora; Canidae. The record is from RNAcentral.
CGACAGAGAGAGACAGGGAAGGAGGUGGCCAAGGGAACCUGAGAAGGUGCACAAAGGUUUGUGUCCAAUACGCUCCACACCUUGUGCUACUCAGGUCCACUCAUGCCCUCCCAUGGUGUCAGCUCUCCU